GCCACAGAGGGUGACAGCCCCGUAACCUCUUCCCUCUCUAGAAAUAUCCUCUUUUAGAAAGGGUGACACUGAAAAACGUACCUCCACUUAUAACCCGUGCAAAGCUCUCACCCUUUGUGGGGGAAAAGGGCGAGCACCCCGUGCCUAGGCAGAGAGUGCCCGAGCUCCCGUUUCGCUGAAACCCCGUACCUCUUUCCGGUUCAGGGCGUAGCGCAGUGGGGGAUAACACCUUUCUCCCACCCCCCAAAAAAAUCCCGAACCCCCACUUCGCUUCGCCCUAAAGGGUAUUAAGGGGCAAAGUGUUACCCCUUGAUACCCCCAGAGUUGCGGUAGCCAGGGUCAGGGUUAGAGGCGUAGCGCAGUGGGGGUUAGGGAGCUGAAACUUUGCACAAGGCUACUAAAGCUGCCUUUGCAAAAGGUUAACCUGUGCAGAGGGUUUAUGAAAGGAUGUGAGUACAACGAGAAAAGAAUCUUGUUGGAAGAUAGGGGGACCACCCCCUGAGCCUAAAAAACCUGUUCUGACCGAUAGUGUAAAAGUACCGUGAGGGAAAGGAGAAAAGACCCCUUACCAGGGAGUGAAAAAGCGACUGAAACCGGAUGCAUACAAACAGUGGAAGCCCCCUCUUCAAAAAUAGACUCCUUAGCGCCGAAAAAGUUACCCAUAAACAAAGUGUUACCCCUUGAUACCCCUUACCCCUUGAUACCCCCAGAGUUGCGGUAGCCAGGGUUAGGGGCGUAGCGUAGUGGGGGUUAGGGAGCUGAAGCUCCCGCUUCACUGAGACCCGGGUUACUCCCGUAACCCGGAGUACCCCCUAACCCUGACCCUGGCUACCGCAACUCUGGGGGUAUCAAGGGGUAAGGGGUAUCCAGGAGGUUAUGGUAGUUAGGAGCGUUACCCCUAUACCCCCUUCGGAGGUCAGGGUUAGGGGAGAGGGGGUUACCGCGUACCUUUUGUAUAAUGGGUCAGCGAGUAAGAGAGAUUAGCAAGCUUAAGCCAUUGGGUGUAGGCACAGUGAAAACGUAAAGCAGGAGUUUACAAAAACCCUGUGGAGUUAAUCUCCCUUUACCCGAAACUAAGUGAUCUAGCCAUCGGCAGGUUGAAAGGGGGGUAAAACCUUCAGAAGGACCGAACCCACGUCUGUGGCAAUAGACGGGGAUGACCGGUGGCUAGGGGUGAAAAGCCAAUCGAACUUAGAGAUAGCUGGUUUUUUGCGAAAUCUAUUUAGGUAGAGCGUAAUUGAUAAAGAAGGGGGGGUAGAGCACUCCAUGGGGAAGGGUGGUCCAAAGCUUUACCAACUCCAAGGAAACUCCGAAUACCCCUUCUCCCUCCAUUUUUGAAUGGGGGGGAGUAUUCAAUUACAGACAGACUUUGGGUGCAAAGGUCCAAAGUCAAAAGGGAAAAAGCCCAGAUCGUUUGAUAAGGUCUCUAAGCCAUAGUUGAGUGGGAAAGGAAGUUUUUCGGCAAAGACAAUCAGGAGGUGGGCUUGGAAGCAGCCAUCCUUUCAAGAAAGCGUAAUAGCUCACUGGUCUAGCCGCAAAGCACCAAAAAUGAAACGAGGCUCAAACUAUGCACCGAAGCAGCGGCUUUUCGUCCACUAAAAAUGCUCCAACCCCCCACUGCGCUGCUAACUACCGUAACCCCCCAAGGGGGUAUCGCCCCCCCUACCCUAACCCGCAAGGGGUAAGGGAUAGCUGGCCCCCCACUCCGCUUCUAGCUACCGCUUCCCCCCAAAAAGGGCAUCCCUUGCGGGUUAGGGGUAUCUCGGGGCUGCGUAGGCUGGAAAAAAGGGGUAACUGCCAAAGCUGAAGCUUGGCACAAUAUAGAAAUGAAGUUUCUCUAGUUGGAAAGUAAAAGGGUAGCAAAACGUUCUGUAACCUAAUGAAGAGACGCCGUCUGGUGACCUUAGAAGAAUCAGAAGUGAGAAUGCUGACAUGAGUAACGUAAAAUCAUGUGAAAUUCAUGAUCGCCGAAAGCUCGAGGGUUUCCACAGACGUAUAUCGAUGUGGAGUCAAUCGGCCCCUAAGAGAAAAGCGAAAGUGAAUCUCAAUGGGAAAAGGGGAAAAGAAUGAAGAGUUGCAGGGGUUGCGAUAACUUCCAGGUAGUUGCUAACCGCUGAAAACUUAUUUCAUUCUCAACCCUUAAAGGUUUAAGUGACGAACUUAAAAAGGGGAAGGGGGCAGAGGAUAUCCCCCCCGAAACCCGGUAACCCAUAAAGGGUAGGGAGUGCUCUCGCUGACGCAGCUCCCCGUUUACCGGGCACCCCAAAGAAAGUUCCAGGAAAAAACUUAACCAAAAAGAAAGUAAACUCACUCCAGGGCUACUUUCUAAACACCGUACCGAAACCGACGCUGGUGAGCUAGUUUUAAAAACUGAGGCGUAGAGAGAACCAUGUUGAAGGAACUCGGCAAAUUAACUCCGUAACUUUGGAAGAAGGAGGACCGGUUAACCCCAUUUUCCCACAUUCUAACCUUUACUUAGUAUCCCUGGAUACCCCGUGCGUAAGCUGAACCCCGAACCCCGACCCUGGCUACCCCAACUCUGGGGGUAUCCAGUGGUACGGGGUAAGGGGUAAGGGCCCAAAGUUAAGGGGAAGAAUGGAGAAGAUGAGGAAAGUAUAUCGGUGGCACAAAAGAGGGGGCAGCGACUGUUUAUUAAAAACACAGGACUCUGCAAAAGAAAAAUGACGUAUAGGGUCUGACACCUGCCCGGUGCUGGGAACCGAAAGGGAGAGCUAGACUGAAUAAGAAAUCCCUCUCUACAAAGGGAGGGAGUUUUUUGAAAAAGGUUUCAACUCAAGGUCCAGUAAACGGCGGCCGUAACUCUGACGGUCCUAAGGUUAACACUUCGCUAGCCUUAGUAAAACCAAACUAUAUGCUGGAAACUCCUCAAAAACUUCUCAAUACUCGAGGUGGAGGUUCUGAAACUCUUUUCCCUAAGGAUUGAAAAGGGUUGAAGAUUUUUGAUCCCUCCUUUUACUCAGUAAAAAAUUGAAAGACAGGGGGACAAUCAGCAGGGAAGACUAAAACCACCUCUUUAAAAAAUUUUACAGAAAGAGAAGGGAGAGAACCCUCAGAGACUACACGUUUGGAGAUGCAAGAAAAGAGAAGGGACUCUUUUCAAAAGGAGAGGUAGAAAAAAUCGAAGAAUGUGAUGACAACACAAUUGAACGCCCAAUGAAUUGUUGGUUUUGUCCAUGGGGAAGAGUGCUUUCACAUCGGAAUUACAAUAGACCCACAACCCCAGCUAAAGCAGCCCCUUGAUACCCCUUACCCCUUGAUACCCCCAGAGUUGCGGUAGCCAGGGUCAGGGUUAGGGGCGCAGCGGAGUGGGGGUUACGGUCAUCGACCAUCUCGCCAGACGGUGGAAAGGUGAAACAGGUCCUUCCAGAAUUUACAAUGGUACAACACAGAUCCGAUAUUCAAAUACUCCACCCUUUAAAAGCUUAUUUUCAAUGCAAAGUGGUUGGAAGGAAUCAUGGAGAUCGGGAGAGUUACUCAGUGCGAAAUCGGAACCACCUUGAGAUAAUUAGAAAUGCUCUAGAAAUGCUCUAGAAAUGCUCUAGAAAUGCUCUAGAAAUGCUCUAGAAAUGCUCUAGAAAUGCUCUAGAAAUGCUCUAGAAAUGCUCUAGAAAUGCUCUAGAAAUGCUCUAGAAAUGCUCUAGAAAUGCUCUCAUCCUUCCUUUCUUUGAAAAACAUAAGUUGAAAACAAAGAAAGGAGUUCAGUUUGAGAAAUUUCGAAAUGUAGUGUUGUUGAUGAACCGUGGUGAACACUUGACUCCUGUUGGUGUGGAAAAGAUCUUGAAGAUUCAUCAUUCCCCUCUUUUUGAGGGGUCUACGUACCCUGGUGAGAUGGGAAGAGAGGGCGUGUGUGUUGAAGAAACAGAGAUUGCAUCUAAGAGAGAGUCCAGCUGAUCUUGAAAAGGAUUGGAAAAUACUGAGCGAAAUUCCUUGUCGGGUGAACGGAUUUUGCCCGAUCGGUUUGGUAACAAACCCUAAGUAUACCGACUCAUAACGGUGAACCCUAAAGCCACAAAAGCCAUGGGAAUACCGCGGGAAGGGUUGCCAUGAAAAGCACCACCCUUUACCUUCAAUGGAGGUCCCCACAUACCUAAUCCCCCAUCCCUUACCCCUUGAUACCCCGUACCCCUUGAUACCCCCAGAGUUGCGGUAGCCAGGGUCAGGGUUCGGGGCGCAACGCAGUGGGGGUUAGCGGGAGAGGGUAAUUGCGGGCUGCUAAAGCUGACCCAAGGGUUAAAAAAAAAAAGGGACUCCCUUAACCUUUAGGUUUCAUGUUUAAUGGGGGUGUGGCAACUCAUCUGUAACGACUGACUUGAAAAAGGAGGCAAUGCAAAACCAAAAGAAAAAAGACUCGAGGUGAUGGUUGCAACACGUCGGCACUCUUCGGUGCAAGGGAGGUACGGAGUAAACUAAACCCCCUCCUCUUUUACCCAAUACUCUAAUCCAUUUCCAGAUUAGAGUUAGCUUCUAACCCCCACUUCACUGCUAACCCUGACCCUGGCUACCGCAACUCUGGGGGUAGCCAGGGUCAGGGUUAGCAGUGAAGUGGGGGGAGCUUGCGCACGGGUUACUCCCGCAACUCUGGGGGGAUGAAGGGGCAAAGUGAAACGGGACCUGCCCCUUACCCCCUUCGGGGGUUUCACGAAGCUAACUUUUGUAACCCGGAGUUUGGUGAGGGGGGAUAGAAUUAUUGUCAUAGGUUUUAAUAGGAAAGAGCAAAAAAUAAUACAGCCCCAUAUGGAACAGCCCAUGGAGAACAGAAGAGAAGAAAGUGGUGGAGGGAGUGAACCCCCAUUAGAUCUCAGGUUUUGUGGAUGGUGAAGGCUGUUUCUCCGUCUCCUUUAACUGGCGGAGCCGCCUGCAAUUGAAGAUUGAGGUUCGACCAACCUUCUACCUAAGCCAGAGUGGAAAGAGAAACUCCCCGCGAUAGGGGGUAGACCUCCUACACCACUAUUAUUGUUGCGAGUUCAUAAGGUAUUGCAAGAAGGAUGGAAGUUACAAGUCUGAGGUCCGUUGCCUGCAGAAUCUGUCCCAUGGUGCCAUCCCCCACUUCGCUCAAUACCCCCUGUCAGCGGUAGCAGCCCUAGCUACCGCUUGCCCCCGAAGGGGGCAUCCCCUUGAUACCCCCAGAAGAGGUCAGGGUUAGGGGGAAGAUUUCCGCCGCUUUCGCCAGGUCUGUUCCCUUAUGCUGACCCGUACCCCUUGAUACCCCCUUUAAAGGCGUAGCGCAGUGGAGGUUAGAAAGGGGCAAAGUGUUACCCCUUUCCGGUUAGGGAGCUGCAGCGUACGCAGACCCUUGUGGGUUAGGGAAACAUCUGCAGCGAGCUGGUUUACAAAAGAUCCUCCACUUUUCCUAUGAGAUGAAUCCUUGCGAAAAACGAAAGUAUGACAAAGAGUCUCUCCUAAACCUCCUGAAGAGUUGAAGGUAUAGUCUGAUCAACCUGGAAACAGGUUGCCUAACAUUUAUGAAUUUCCGACCCGCAUGAAUGGUGUCACGACUGCCCCGCUGUCUCCAACAUGGGCUCAGUGAAAUUGAAUUCUCCGUGAAGAUGCGGAGUUCCCGAAAAAAGACGGUAAGACCCUAUGCACCUUUACUAUAACUUAUCAUUGGGUUUGGGGGUAUGUUGUGUAGCAUAGGUGGGAGCCCCAACUAAAAAUGGAGGCAACAGUGAAAUACCACCCUUCCUACCCCAAUACUCUAACCUUUCCCCUUUCGAGGAGGUAAAACCUACUCCUUACCCUAACCCCGAACCUUGACCCCGAGCUUCGCACGGGGUAUCAAAAGGUACGGGGUAUGCGUAACCUCCCCCCACUUCUGCCCCCCUAUGAGGGUAUGAAAGUGAAGGGUAGAGGUAUUCAGGUACAGGUUAAGAAAGGAACAGUGUUAAGGGGGUAGUUUCAUUGGGGCGAUGGUUUUCUAAAGAGUAACGAAAGCGUGCGAAGGUAAACUCAACCCCGUCGGAAAUGGGGAGAAGAGCGUAAUGGUAAAAGUUUGCCUGACUGUGAGACCUACAAGUCGAGCAGAGACGAAAGUCGGCCAUAGUGACCCGGGAGUUCUGAGUGGAAAGGCUCUCGCUCAACGGAUCAAAGGUACGCUAGGGAUUCCUGGAGUCCUCCCCCUUCGUGAGAGGGGGGGGAGCGUUUCUUGAGAAGGGUGACCCUCUCAAGAUAAAAAACUGGGUGAAUUGCAAGAACGGUUUAAAGAUUCUCAAAAUCCCAACUUGCAGCGAAGUCUCUCCAAUGACAACCCCUUACCUUAGCUACCGCGUGCGAAACAGCUUUCGCGUGCGAAGCUCCCCCUGGAUACCCUCAGAGAAGGCCAGCUUUAGCAGCUCCUCCACUCUGCUUUGCCCCUUACCCCUGGCAGCUUUAGCAGCCCCCUUCGGGGGUUACGCUAGUUAGUAGCGCAGUGGGGAUUAGAGGGGAGGGUUAUCAGUGGGGGUUCCGUGUAGGGGACGGAAGUAGAGAGAAACGUUCAACGACUAGAAAGUGAGGAUUGUCUACCAAUACUCUUUCCACGAGCGCCCAGCAACUGGCAACACUUUCCCUAUCCUCCCUAUGAAAAAACCCACAGCAAAAGAGAGACUCCGCCGUUUUUUGGCGGAAUCUAAAAAAACAAUACUGCUCCCUCCACCCCCACUUCUAACCCUGACCCCCAGAGGGGGUCAGGGUUAGGGUAUCGCCUUUCUAAAGAUCUCUUCUUCAUUGGAGUGGGAACACUCCUUGGUGAUGGAAGUAUUCAAACACAGGAUGGGGGUUGCGAAGCACAAGCUACCGUUUAAAAUUUCAACAAUCAGGGAAGCUGUUACCCCUUGUGGGUUAGGAAAAUAUCUCUUCCAUUUACACCAACAGUUCUCCAAAUAGGGCCCCUAAGGUUCUUUCACCCCCCCCCCUUUCUAGAUGAGAAUCAGGGGAUGUGCAAUUUUCAGACGAUCCCCCAUCCCCAUUUCAAAAGGGUGGCAGAGAUCUUUCAGCUCCAUCUCGGCAGGGAGAAAAGAAUUCCACCCCAUUUUGUAAAGCGGUGUCUCAACCCCUUGCCCCCGAAAGGAGCUACCCUAGCCUAUUAGACCAUGGAUGACGGGGGGAGGUCUUGCUAUAACAAAGAUUAUCAGCGGAGAGGUUUUGCACUCAAUACACUUGGAGCACCUUGGUUUUCAAAGGAAGAGGUUCUUUCUCUCUAUGAGGGGUUAAAGAAACGGUAUGGUUUACGCUGUUGGUAUAGAGGAAACAAAGGAAAGUGGGUUUUGGUGAUUUCAGGGGAUGAUCAUUAAAAGAUGAUAGGGCUAAUCAAAGAGUGUAUCAUUCCAUCCAUGUACUAUAAGAUUCCCCAUCUUUUAAAGAGAAAGGGGCUACUAACGCUAAGGGUAGCUAAGAGAAAACCCCCCUUUACCUUUGCACAGGAUCUCCCCACCAGUUGAUGACAUAGUCUGAACUCCAUGGUAACAUGGAGAGAUGGGGGAUAAAAAGCCCCCAUGAUAACAAUAUUGAACAGGCUGAUGACUCCCAAGAGCUCAUAUCGACGGAGUCGUUUGGCACCUCGAUGAGAAGACACGUCGAGGAAAAAGCGGGUGAAUUGACAAGGAUACCUCCCCCAGCCCUAACCCCUUACCCAUAAACAGGCUGCUAAAGCAGCUAUCGCUUUAACCCCUACUUGACUUCGUCCCUAACCCCCACUUCUAACCCGCAAGGGGUAACGUCCCGUGCGAAGCUCUAACCCUGACCCCCCUAGGGGGUAUCCAGGGGCGAAGCGAAGUAAGGUAAAGGUUAGGGACAAAGUGAAGUGGGUUCAAGGUUAAAAGUAAAAGUUAGAAAGAGGGGAGACAACUUGCAGCGAAGCGCAUCUCGGCAGAAACCCCUCCUCAUUAUGAGAGGAGGGGAGAAGGGAUGUGAACGUUCAACGACUAGAAGGUGAGUUAUGCCAACAAUAACCCUUCCACGAGCGCCCGCUCACACCAACUCUUUCGAUUUUGAAAAGAAAAAAGUUUUAUCCCAUUUCUACAGAAAACGAAAUUGAUAGUAAAAGGGGGGGCAGAGAAGAAAGAGAGAGGAAGUAUUAAGAAUAGACGGGAUGGACAUCACCUCAAUUCAACCUACUGGAGAAAGUACAAAAGAGGGGGGUUUUACCCCUAGCUAACGCAACCCAAGAGGUUGUGGUAGUGGCGGUGGGUAUGGGGUUGGGUGACGCCACCCUGGCUCGCGGCAAAGGUGAAUGUUCUAUGAAAUUUGAACAGGGUUGGAGAUAGAAAGAGUUUCUCUGCCACCUAUAUCAAGAGUACGCCUUUAUGGUCUCUCCUGGUAUAGGGUAUGAUAAAGGUGGGGAGAGGGGCGGGGAGGUGAAAAGCUACUGGUUUCGAACCUUGGCCCACCCCUCCUAUACAUCCAUUCAUUCCCUCCUUUACCAGAAAGAGGGGAAUGACUCUGCAGCUUCUGACCCCUGUUUACCCCUGACCCUAACCUCAGCUUCAGCAGCACUGAACUUGCAAGGGGCUGCGUACUCUACUUCGCUCCUAACUACCGUAACCCGCAAAGGGUAUCCACUCCCGUUUCACUUUGCCCCUUGCAAGUUCAAGGCUGCCUACCCUGGAGGUAUCAAAGGUCAAAGUAAAACAGGAGCUGGGGUCAGGGUUAGCCAGCUCAGAGGGUAGGCUACUAAAACUGCACAACCCUUACCCCUUGAUACCCCCUCUGGGGGUCAGGGUUAGGAGUCCCUGGAAAAAGGUUCCUUGGAAAAUGGCUCCCUUGAAAAGGGAAACAUAAUACCGGUUAGAAUCCCCUAUGGAAAAGGGGUUUCAAAGGGUCUGAUUCAAGAUCAUCUUACACCAAUUGGUCUUGCCUAUUAGAUUAUGUGUAAUGGGGCCCCUCCGGUCUUUACAGAAUGACCGAAAAAGCCUGGCUCUCCAUACUCAAUGUUACAAAGAAGGGGAGAACUAUACAGCUCCAUCUGUUGAGUCUAGAAUUGAAUGAAAAGUUUGGGUUUUACACCCGAGUCCGUCCCCGUAAGGGGAAGUAUUUCAUCCUCUUCUUCCCAUCCGGAGAUGGGGCCCUUUUGCUUACCCCUUGAUACCCCCUCUGGGGGUCAGGGUUAUGGGUUGAUCCAUCCCCGCCUCCUUUCCUCUUUCCAUUACAAAAUUCCGGUUGUGCGAAGCAACCCCCCUUUUUCAGGUCAAGGGGAGGUGUGAAUGACAUAGUCUGAGCUCCUCUGUGAAGAGGAGAAGUUUAGGAUAAAGAGCCUAAAUGGUAACAAUCUGGUCGACUCAUCGCAACCUGGGGUUGAAGAAGAUCCCAAGGGUUCGGCUGUUCGCCGAUGAAAGCGGUACGUGAGUUGGGUUUAGUACGUUGAGAAACAGUACGGAUCCUAUCUUUUUCGGGUGGAGAACCGGAUGUUUAGUUUUAAUAAAUGAAACACCAUCCGGUAAAGACUGAAGGGGUCAUUCUUUUGUACGAGAGGACCAAGAAUGGGGAACCUCUGGUGUACCAGUUGUCGCGCCAGCGGCACCGCUGGGUAGCUACGUUCCAAGGAAAGAACCGCUGAAAGCCUAUCAAGUGGGAAAUUCCGCCCUAAAACAAGUCUCCGGUGUCGUAG
Molecule: ribosomal RNA, 9601 nt
Filed under: Botryococcus braunii Showa
Lineage: Eukaryota; Viridiplantae; Chlorophyta; Trebouxiophyceae
Description: 23S ribosomal RNA
Rfam family: Bacterial large subunit ribosomal RNA (bases 121-2936)
Source: RNAcentral